Molecule: ribosomal RNA, 479 nt
Filed under: uncultured bacterium
Lineage: Bacteria
Description: bacterial SSU rRNA
Rfam family: Bacterial small subunit ribosomal RNA
Source: RNAcentral
CAGAACGAACGCUGGUGGCGUGUCUAUACAUGCAAGUCGAGCGGCGUAGCAAUACGUAGCGGCGAACGGGUGAGUAACGCGUAAGCAAUCUGCCCCAUAUCAGGAAAUACCCGUGCCAACGCGCGGUUAAUGUCCAGGAGAGUGGCCCCUUGCAUGAGGGGUUGACUAGAGAUUCAUCGGUAUGGGAUGAGCUUGCGUCCGAUUAGCUAGUGGCGGGGCAACGGCCCACCAAGGCGACGAUCGGUAGCCGGCCUGAGAGGGUGAUCGGCCACAUUGGGACUGAGAUACGGCCCAGACUCCUACGGGAGGCAGCAGUAGGGAAUAUUGCACAAUGGGGGGAACCCUGAUGCAGCAACGCCACGUGUGGGAAGAAGCAUUUCGGUGUGUAAACCACUGUCGUGAGGGAAUAAGGCCUGCUUUCGGGCAGGAUUGAAUGUACCUCGAAAGGAAGCACCGGCAAACUUCGUGCCAGCCGCGGC